UACGGAGGGGGCUAGCGUUGCUCGGAAUUACUGGGCGUAAAGGGCGCGUAGGCGGUUCUAUAAGUCAGGCGUGAAAUUCCUGGGCUUAACCUGGGGGCUGCGCUUGAGACUGUGGGACUUGAGGUCAGAAGAGGGUCGUGGAAUUCCCAGUGUAGAGGUGAAAUUCGUAGAUAUUGGGAAGAACACCGGUGGCGAAGGCGGCGACCUGGUCUGAUACUGACGCUGAGGCGCGACAGCGUGGGGAGCAAACAGG
This 253-nucleotide ribosomal RNA is filed under the name uncultured bacterium. RNAcentral's name for it is "partial 16S ribosomal RNA". It matches the Rfam family "Bacterial small subunit ribosomal RNA", at positions 524 to 776 of the family's 1533-position model. The record is from RNAcentral.